AAAGCUAAUUUCCUCGUAACUUUUAGAAAAAAAAAGUUUGAUAUUUUCUGUCCACCGCCGGAUCCGUUGUUCAAACAUUCCAAGAGUAAUUAGCAUUCCGGCAAACUGCUUCAGAAAGUUCGAGCACGAAGUUGUCUUCCUCCUGAAAAAUCGGAACCAUAAAAUCUUCAGAAAUGGUUAUCAACUUUUCGGAAUUAACAGAUGUUUCGGAAUACGGCUUGUUCGCUGAAAGUGAUCGGAAUAAAACCGGCGAGUAUAGCUGUGUGCUGCUGAAUUCUUCUCUAUUCAUUAGGAACAAAUACCGCCACCGGAUCAUCUCAGAAUCAUGGAAGUGUUUAUGCAUAAAAUCUUUGAAAUGGACAGCGGAAGAUGGAUUACGAUACUGCUAAUUAAUGGAUACCUACAUUCGAGUUGGAUGAAAAAAGUACUACUUCCGGGAACAGAAACAGCUACGAUUUUUUACAUGUUCCGAAUUGAAAGGGCAGCUUAACUCCAUUUUAAAUUAAUAAUUCAAUAGUGAAAGUGAAUUCAACAUUGUGAUAAAAUUUUAUUUGAUAAUUAAGAAUACAGAAUUUAAAAACAUUUAUUUUUUAUCUUUGCUACUUAAAGAUCUGUUUGAUAGGUAUCUUACGAACACAUUCGAAGCUUCUUUGGGGGGUCCAAUUCCGAUAGCAAAUAAAAGUUUACAGUCGAUUCUUG
This is a long non-coding RNA of Uranotaenia lowii, 699 nucleotides long. RefSeq lists it as uncharacterized. The record is from RefSeq and is a predicted model, not a curated record. NCBI's taxonomy places the organism in Eukaryota, Metazoa, Arthropoda, Insecta, Diptera, Culicidae. The transcript is spliced from 2 exons.